Long non-coding RNA from Vulpes vulpes (red fox), 607 nucleotides. The record is from Ensembl. Lineage: Eukaryota; Metazoa; Chordata; Mammalia; Carnivora; Canidae.
AGCACUUGUUGGCUUCUCCAUGAGGCUGCACAUGCCUUCAUGCCUGUUUUUUUUUGUAUGAGUUAUGAAUGACAACUUGGUCAAAAACAACAAACUGAGCAUCACUACAGUUUGGUCAACAUGAAGAUUUGGUUGAAAUUAAAAUUCCAGUCUCCUAUUUUCCAGUGAAAUAUUGACGAAGAACUGUUGACCUACAUCUUGUGUGUCCUGGAUGGCCAGAGCUGGACUGGGCACAGAGCUCCAUAACCAUGGCAACAGCAUUACCUGCCUGGGUCAUGGUGUGGUACCAUGUUGGGCCAGAAUGGCAGAUGUCAGAGAGAGGCACCAUGCCCCAGGAAGGGUUACAAGGACCCCACAGAUGGAAGGAACCAUGGAGGCCAACUUACUCCACCUAGCAUUUAGAUCCAAAGGAAAUGAGACUCAGAAACAAGGAAUAAUUGGCCUGAGAUCACCUAGCCACCAGAAGGGGUUCCUCUGGGCUUCUCUACAGCUCCAUCCAGGAGCAGCAGGAUCUUUCAUUGUGACGAUGGACUUGGGGAAAAGAGGCAAGACAUCAAGAGGCAGUGAGAACCUGCAAAAUAUUUCUUUGGAAGCAUGGUUCCUUUAG